AAAUUAUUUUCAUGGUUUUGUUGGAAACCCAAAUUAUUUUCACGGUUUUGUUGAAAUUGCAGGCUUAUCUUUGUGGUUUUGUUUGAAAGCCGGGUUUAUUUUAUGGUUUUGUUCAAGUUCUGGGCUUAUCUUCACGGUUUUGGUUGAAAUCCAGGCUUAUCGUCACGGUUUUGUUCAAAAUUUGGGCUUUUCACCCCAGUUUUGCUCGAAAUCCAGAUUUAUUUUACAGUUUCGUUCAAGUGCUGGGCUUAUCUUCACGCUCUUGUUUGAAAUCUGCAUUUAUUUUUGUGGUUUCAUUCAAAUUCUGGGCUUUCCAUCCCAAUUUUGUUUGAAAUCCAGGUUUAUUUUACAGUUUUCUUCAAGUUCUGGACUUACAUUCAUGGUUUUGGUCAAAAUCCACAUUUAUUAUCAUGGUUUUAUUCAAGUUCUGGGCUUUUCAUCCCAAUUUUGUUCAAAAUCCGGGUUUAUUUUCAUGUUUUUUUUCAAGUUUUUGGCUUGUCUUCAUGGUUUUCUUCAAAAUCUGGGUUUAUCUUCACAGUUUUAUUCAAAUCUGGGCUUUCCAUCCCACUUUUGUUCGAAAUCUGGGUUUCUUUUCACAGUUUUAUUGGAAAUCCAGGCUUAUAUUCAUGGUUUUAUUCAAAAUCUGGGUUUAUCUUCACGGUUUUCUUCAAAUUCUGGGCUUUCCACCCCAGAUUUCCUCGAAAUCCAAGUUUAUUUUACAGUUUCGUUCAAGUUCUGGGCUUAUAUUCGCGGUUUUGGUCAAAAUCCACAUUUAUUUUCAUGGUUUCAUUCAAAUUCUGGGCUUAUCUUCACAGUUUUGUUCAAAUUCUGGGCUUUCCAUCCCAAUUUUGUCCAAAAUCCGGGUUUAUUUUACAGAUUUGUUCAAGUUCUGGACGUUUAUUCGCAGUUAUGGUCGAAAUCCAGGUUUAUUUUCAUGGUUCUAUUCAAAUUCUGGGCUUUCCAUCCCAAUUUUGUUCGAAAUCUGGGUUUAUUUUCAUAUUUUCAUGUUUUGUUUUUUUUUGUUGUUGUUGUUGUUUUUCAAGUUCUGGGCUUGUCUUCACGGUUUUGUUCAAAAUCCGGGCGUUCCAUCCCAGUUUUAUUUGAAAUCCAGGCUUAUAUUCACAGUUUUAUUCAAAAUCUGGGCUUUCCAUCCCAAUUUUUUUACAAAAUCCAGGUUUAUUUUAAUGGUUUCCUUCAAAUUCUGGGCUAAUCUUCACGGUUUUGUUCAAAAUCUGGGCUUAACUUCACGGUUUUCUUCAAAUUCUGGGCUUUCCAUCCCAGAUUUCCUCGAAAUCCAGGUUUAUUUUACAGUUUCGUUCAAGUUCUGGGCUUAUAUUUGUGGUUUUAGUCAAAAUCCACGUUUAUUUUCAUGGUUUCAUUCAAAUUCUGGGCUUAUCUUCACAGUUUUGUUCAAAUUCUGGGCUUUCCAUCCCAAUUUUGUCCAAAAUCCGGGUUUAUUUUACAGUUUUCUUCAAGUUCUGGACUUUUAUUCAUGA
Molecule: long non-coding RNA, 1496 nt
Filed under: Anas platyrhynchos platyrhynchos (common mallard)
Lineage: Eukaryota; Metazoa; Chordata; Aves; Anseriformes; Anatidae
Description: lncRNA (ENSAPLG00000017614.1)
Source: RNAcentral